AACGAACGCUGGCGGCAGGCUUAACACAUGCAAGUCGAACGCCCCGCAAGGGGAGUGGCAGACGGGUGAGUAACACGUGGGAACAUGCCCAAAGGUACGGAAUAUUCUCGGGAAACUGGGAGCAAUACCGUAUGUGCCCGAAAGGGGAAAGAUUUAUCGCCUUUGGAUUGGCCCGCGUUGGAUUAGCUAGUUGGUGGGGUAAAAGCCUACCAAGGCGACGAUCCAUAGCUGGUCUGAGAGGACGACCAGCCACACUGGGACUGAGACACGGCCCAGACUCCUACGGGAGGCAGCAGUGGGGAAUCUUGGACAAUGGGCGCAAGCCUGAUCCAGCCAUGCCGCGUGAGUGAUGAAGGCCCUAGGGUUGUAAAGCA
Molecule: ribosomal RNA, 374 nt
Filed under: uncultured bacterium
Lineage: Bacteria
Description: bacterial SSU rRNA
Rfam family: Bacterial small subunit ribosomal RNA
Source: RNAcentral